Molecule: long non-coding RNA, 685 nt
Filed under: Canis lupus familiaris (dog)
Lineage: Eukaryota; Metazoa; Chordata; Mammalia; Carnivora; Canidae
Description: lncRNA (ENSCAFG00845030883.1)
Source: RNAcentral
AUAAGUAGAAUCUUUAAACAAUCUGGAGUCACAAGGCACUGUGACAAACGUCGUGAUGAAGAACAGUCAUUUCGAGCAGCCCUGGUGGCGCAGUGGUUUAGCACCGCCUGCAGCCUAGGGUGUGAUCCUGGAGACCCUGGAUCGAGUCCCACAUCAGGCUCCCUGCAUGGAGCCUGCUUCUCCCUCUGCCUGUCUCUCUCUCUGUGUCUCAAUCAAUCAAUCAAUCAAUCAAUCUUAAAAAAAAAAGAAGGGUCAUCUCUGAAGAGAGGGUGGGGCGCUGGGACAGGGCUGGGGGUGGGCGGGGUCUUCGGUGUGGGUGAGCCUCUAGAGCCUGGGGCCCUGGCACCGUGGUGGAGGGGAGGCAAGAACGGUGCUCAGUGGCCACUCAGGUGGGCACUCGGCAGGCGCUCCCUGGGCACUCAGCGGGCACUCGGGGCACUCAGUGGGCGCUCAGGUGGGCACUCGGCGGGGGCUCAGGUGGGCACUUGGUGGGCACUCGGCAGGCGCUCAGGCGGGCGCUCAGGUGGGCACUCGGUGGGCACUCCCUGGAUAUUCGCCGGGCGCUCCACGGGCACUCAGGUGGGCAGUCGGCGGGUGCUCCGUGGGCUCAGGUGGGCGCUCAGCGGGCGCUCAGGCGGGCACUCAGGCGGGCACUCGGCGGGCGCUCAGCGGGCGCUCGGGUGGG